RNAcentral lists this long non-coding RNA (3076 nucleotides) under Brachypodium distachyon (stiff brome). RNAcentral's name for it is "long non-coding RNA (BDIS_LNC003264)". The record is from RNAcentral. Lineage: Eukaryota; Viridiplantae; Streptophyta; Magnoliopsida; Poales; Poaceae.
AAUGUAGAGAUUUUACGGGCGGCGACCCUAACACCCACUCUUGAGGACCUUUGCACACUACACUACUUGGGAUAUCAAACUUGUGAAAACUCAACACUUUAUUCACUAUUUUAAUGUUGGUACAACACUCUCUUUAGUGGCUACCCUACACACAACCCUACCAUGGUAGCUCACUUCUCUACUUGGUGUGGUGAUACACUACUUGUGGUGAUUGUGGUACACUUAUGAGGUGGGGGCACCUCUAUUUAUACUUGUACAAGACCAUGUAGUACAUCCCACUACAAUUCUCUAGAAUACUCUACAUGUAUCCUAGUUCUAGAGAAUUCUCACUUAUUCUUGAAACUUAUCUUAACUAUGUCCUUUCAUGGUAAAUUGCAACACUCUUCAAGUAACCUCUCAAGACUUCCAGAAUAUUCAUAUCUUCUCAUAUUCACUGGAAAGCUCCUUGUAAAUAUCUUCUCCUCCACUAAUCCAAACUAUUCUGGAAUCUUCUCAAAUAUGCAUAACUAAUUCCCAACACUCUCCAAUUAUCCAGAGUAGUCCAGAAUAUUCUCAAGUAUGCAUUGCUAUUUCUCAACACUCCCCCUCAAUGCAUACUUGACUCCCAAUCAUCUCUUCAAUGAUGUCCUUGGAUCUUCUGAGCUCUUCCAUUGCGAACUUUCUUCUUUUCUUCGUGCAUUGAGUUCUUUUUAACCUCAUUGCAUUUUUGCAGCUCAGUUCUCUUCUUUGUCCUUAUCCAAACUUGAGCCUUUUUUAUUUCCAUGUAUGAAAAUACUUGAGAAAGAGAACCACGGACAUACCUCAGAUCUGGUGGCUUUGUCCUCCAUACUUCAUGUUUCUUGGCCUCGUGUUGACUCCGUUGGGAUUCCUUGACUCUAAGUUGAUCCAUGCAUUUGUUCUCCAUUACCUUCAUUGAUGGAUCAUCUUGCACGACUAAUGUUCCAUCACCAUCUCUGUUAUACUUAGAUUUCUCACGUGGCUUCUCGUCCACAUAAUGUAUAAGCCCUUGUUUCUUUGGUUUAUCCUCAUGAUCCUCCAAGUCUCCGUCGUCAUUGUCAUAUCCAAACACUGGAAGCUCAUGCAUGGGUUUUAGAUUUCUCACCUCGGUGAAUAAGCCAUUUUCUAUAUCACAUUCUUCUUCAUCAUCAUUUUCCUCUUCUCCAGAUUCUUCUAGAUCCUCCAUGAAGAAGCCACCUUCACCAUUCCAUUCUUCUUCUUUAUCAUUCUCUUCUUCUUCGGAUUCUUCUAGAUCCUCCAUGAAGAAGCCACCUUCACCAUUCCAUUCUUCUUCUUUAUCAUUCUCUUCUUCUCCGGAUUCUUCUAAAUCCUCUAUGAAGGAGCCACCUUCAGCAUCCCAUUCCUCUUCAUCCUCAUCCUCUCUAGAUUCUUCUAGAUCCACACCUUGGAUUGAUGGAUGCUCACCUUUAGUUAGGUCUUCAACAAAAUAGACUUCGUCUUCCAUCAUGCUUAAUCCUUCUUGAGCAUCCCACUCUUCCUCCUCUAAGACCACAUCUGCCAUAGUCACCACUUCUUUCUCCGAGUGCUUCUUUGGACUCCAACAAUCCCUAGCAAGAUGGCCACUCUUGCCACAAUUAAAACACUCGCCUUUCUUUCUCCUUUCAUAUAUCAACUUCCGCUGAUCUUCUUUUCUUCUUUGAGCUCCCCCUGAAUAGUUGCUCUCCCUUGGGUACCACCUCUCAUCUUUCGUCCACUUCUCCUUCACCGCUUCUCGGCUCCUUAGGGGACUCUUCUUCCUAUAGGUGAAAAGCGCAUCCUCUCCAUCUCUUUCUUUAAAGGUGAUACUGCCCAUCUGCUUGGCUAGCUCCUCUUGAUUAGCCAAUAAAUUCUCCAGCUCCACUACUGAAGGUUGAGUAGGCCAUCCCAUCACCGCAGCCAUGAACCCAUUGUAUUCGGGUCUAAGACCAUGGAUGAUGAUUCUCCUCAUCCGAGCCUCACUCACCUUCUCAUCUGCGAGCUCAUUUUCUAGGAGCUGAAGUCGUGCUUCGUUCUUCCUUGAGAACAGCUUCGCCAAUGUGUCCCAAGCCUCCUUAGGUGUCUUUGCAUCUCUGAUGUGCUCCACUAGGUCCUCCUCAAUCGUCGUCUUCAGCACGAACAUAGCUUUGCCUACCUUGAUGCGCCACUUCCGCAAAGCUUCUGCAUUCUCUGGAGGAGUUGUCUCGGUGCCCGCAAUGACCUCCCAUAGGUCAUGACCUUGCAGAUAGGACUCCAUGCAAGUCUGCCAAUAGCCAUAGUUAUGACUAUUAAGCCUCCACAUGCCAUUGCCUGUGAUCAUGAGAUCCGCCAUCUCGAUUGACGCCCCGCGUCCACUUCACUUGGUCCCAGACCAGUGAUUUCCACAGUCCCAGACUGUGCUCCGGCAGAAUCUCACUUAGCGCCUCUCAGUGACACACUGAGCUAUGUAAGCGUCAUACGCUUACCACUGCACCGGCUGAUGACUCCUCCCCAAAUGGUCCCGACCAACCUGCUCUGAUACCAACUGUAGAGAUUUUACGGGCGGCGACCCUAACACCCACUCUUGAGGACCUUUGCACACUACACUACUUGGGAUAUCAAACUUGUGGAAACUCAACACUUUAUUCACUAUUUUAAUGUUGGUACAACACUCUCUUUAGUGGCUACCCUACACACAACCCUACCAUGGUAGCUCACUUCUCUACUUGGUGUGGUGAUACACUACUUGUGGUGAUUGUGGUACACUUAUGAGGUGGGGGCACCUCUAUUUAUACUUGUACAAGACCAUGUAGUACAUCCCACUACAAUUCUCUAGAAUACUCUACAUGUAUCCUAGUUCUAGAGAAUUCUCACUUAUUCUUGAAACUUAUCUUAACUAUGUCCUUUCAUGGUAAAUUGCAACACUCUUCAAGUAACCUCUCAAGGCUUCUAGAAUAUUCAUAUCUUCUCAUAUUCACUGGAAAGCUCCUUGUAAAUAUCUUCUCCUCCACUAAUCCAAACUAUUCUGGAAUCUUCUCAAAUAUGCAUAACUAAUUCCCAACACUCUCCAAUUAUCCAGAGUAGUCCAGAAUAUUCUCAAGUAUGCAUUGCUAUUUCUCAACAC